GUUGCCUACGGUGUGCUGGAGACAGAGUCUGAGGAGAGCUGGACUUGGUUUUUGCAUAAUCUGCGCCGGCCUAUUGCACAUCCUAAUGGGUUGGUCAUUCAUACAGAUGCCUGCAAUGGUUUAGAAGUGGCCGUGGACAAUGUGUUCCCUGGAGUAGAGCAUAGGGAAUGCAUGCGUCACCUUGCUACAAAUUUCAUGAAGAAAUUCAAAGGAAAGGUGUAUACCGACAAUUUAUGGCCAGCAUCUUUGACUUGCAGUCUGAAGAAGCACAACUACCACUUGAGGCAGUUAUACAUGAAUCCCAAAGUGAAAGAAUACUUGGAAACACACCACUCCAAGUUAUGGGCUAGAAGCCAAUUCAGUGAACUGAGCGAAGUUGACUAUGUGCACAAUAAUCUAGCAGAGUCUUUCAACUCAACGGUCCGGAAA
This 429-nucleotide ribosomal RNA is filed under the name Triticum aestivum (bread wheat). RNAcentral describes it as "partial small subunit ribosomal RNA". Lineage: Eukaryota; Viridiplantae; Streptophyta; Magnoliopsida; Poales; Poaceae. The record is from RNAcentral.